RNAcentral lists this transfer RNA (72 nucleotides) under Sus scrofa (pig). It matches the Rfam family "tRNA". From Rfam's summary of the family: Transfer RNA (tRNA) molecules are approximately 80 nucleotides in length. Lineage: Eukaryota; Metazoa; Chordata; Mammalia; Artiodactyla; Suidae. The record is from Rfam by way of RNAcentral.
UCCCUGGUGGUCUAGUAGUUAGGACUCUGCAUUUUCAGUGCGGCGGCCUGGGUUCAAUCCCUGGUGGGAGAC